This is a long non-coding RNA of Teleopsis dalmanni, 778 nucleotides long. RefSeq lists it as uncharacterized. The transcript has 3 exons. Lineage: Eukaryota; Metazoa; Arthropoda; Insecta; Diptera; Diopsidae. The record is from RefSeq and is a predicted model, not a curated record.
AUUAGUCUUUAUAAUAUACGGAAUAAAAUAAGAGUUGUACUUACAAUCACAUAUCACAGUUGAGUUAUGAGUUUUUAGCUAAUAAUAGGCAGAAUUUGGAAUUCAAUUUUCUGGAUUUUAAGCACUAACUGAAUUUGGAAGUUAUUAAAUGAAACUGUAAUAACUUGUGGUGUGCACUAUAGUCGAGUACGUAUCUGUAUUUAAAACGGCAAUAAUUGCAUGGCAGGAAAUAUUUGUUAAAAUAAAAAUACUUCAGGCUCCGGAGGCUAUAGGCAAUAAGGCAACAACUUAAGCCAUUUAAAUGCUAAAAACGCAUAAAAACGAAAAAAUAACAAAAUUGGAAAAUUCCUUUUGGCAACACAAAAUUUUCAGAAGAGAAAAACGCAUAAAAUAUAUGCUGCAAAAUUAUAGAAAAUUCAUUUUUGGCAAAAAAUAUUGGGAUCCGAAAACAGAUUUGGACACAGAUUGUUUUGAAUCAUUGGAGAUAUAUCAAAAAGAGCAAUUGCAAAAAUUACUAACGGCGGGAACUAGUAAAUUUAUAAAAGAACUAAAAGGAACAGCGGCAAAAAUCAAAGUGUAUCUUUGAAAAACUAGAAACAUUAACAACAACAACAACAACAAUAACUACAACCAAUUAUUGGAGAAAAGGUUGUAUAAAGGAUAUUCAUACACUACGUAUACCUGCACAUGCAAUACGUUUGACUUAAAUUUAAAAAUUUCUAGAACAAAUUCUGGAUACGAAAUUUUAUUUGUUUUAUUAUUUAACAUAAAAUUUUGA